RNAcentral lists this ribosomal RNA (389 nucleotides) under uncultured eukaryote. Its description in RNAcentral is "SSU rRNA". It matches the Rfam family "Eukaryotic small subunit ribosomal RNA", at positions 587 to 972 of the family's 1831-position model. The record is from RNAcentral.
AGCUCCAAUAGCGUAUAUUAAAGUUGUUGCGGUUAAAAAGCUCGUAGUUGGAUCUCGGCGGGCAGGGGGCGGUCCGUUAUUUGACGCGACUGCCCCAUUUGCCCGUGUAUCUUCGGCGGAACUCCCGGGGUGCUCUUCGCCGAGUGUCCCGUUGGGGGCCGCCAGCUUUACCUUGAAAAAAUUAGAGUGCUUAAAGCAGGCUCGACACGCCUGAAUAUUUGUGCAUGGAAUAAUGGAAUAGGACGUCGUUCCUAUUUUGUUGGUUUUCGGGAAUCGACGUAAUGAUUAAUAGGGACAGCCGGGGGCAUUAGUAUUCAGACGACAGAGGUGAAAUUCUUGGACCGUCUGGCGACUCACUGCUGCGAAAGCGUUUGCCAAGUAUGUUUUCA